UGGGGAAUAUUGGACAAUGGGCGCAAGCCUGAUCCAGCCAUGCCGCGUGAGUGAUGAAGGCCCUAGGGUUGUAAAGCUCUUUCACCGGUGAAGAUAAUGACGGUAACCGGAGAAGAAGCCCCGGCUAACUUCGUGCCAGCAGCCGCGGCAAUACGAAGGGGGCUAGCGUUGUUCGGAUUUACUGGGCGUAAAGCGCACGUAGGCGGACUAUUAAGUCAGGGGUGAAAUCCCGGGGCUCAACCCCGGAACUGCCUUUGAUACUGGUAGUCUUGAGUUCGAGAGAGGUGAGUGGAAUUCCGAGUGUAGGGGUGAAAUUCGUAGAUAUUCGGAGGAACACCAGUGGCGAAGGCGGCUCACUGGCUCGAUACUGACGCUGAGGUGCGAAAGCGGGGGGAGCAAACAGG
RNAcentral lists this ribosomal RNA (404 nucleotides) under Actinomycetes bacterium. RNAcentral describes it as "Actinobacteria bacterium partial 16S ribosomal RNA". It matches the Rfam family "Bacterial small subunit ribosomal RNA", at positions 355 to 776 of the family's 1533-position model. Lineage: Bacteria; Bacillati; Actinomycetota; Actinomycetes. The record is from RNAcentral.